RNAcentral lists this transfer RNA (76 nucleotides) under bacterium. Its description in RNAcentral is "tRNA-Lys". It matches the Rfam family "tRNA". Rfam says of the family: Transfer RNA (tRNA) molecules are approximately 80 nucleotides in length. The record is from RNAcentral.
GGGUUAGUAGCUCAGUUGGUAGAGCAUCGGCCUCUUAAGCCGCUGGCCCUGGGUUCGAGUCCCAGCUGACCCACCA